RNAcentral lists this ribosomal RNA (409 nucleotides) under bacterium. Its description in RNAcentral is "partial 16S ribosomal RNA". It matches the Rfam family "Bacterial small subunit ribosomal RNA", at positions 355 to 776 of the family's 1533-position model. The record is from RNAcentral.
UGGGGAAUAUUGCACAAUGGGCGAAAGCCUGAUGCAGCGACGCCGCGUGAGGGAUGACGGCCUUCGGGUUGUAAACCUCUUUCAGCAGGGACGAAGCGCAAGUGACGGUACCUGCAGAAGAAGCACCGGCUAACUACGUGCCAGCAGCCGCGGUAAUACGUAGGGUGCAAGCGUUGUCCGGAAUUACUGGUCGUAAAGAGUUCGUAGGCGGUUUGUCGCGUCGUUUGUGAAAACCAGCAGCUCAACUGCUGGCUUGCAGGCGAUACGGGCAGACUUGAGUACUGCAGGGGAGACUGGAAUUCCUGGUGUAGCGGUGAAAUGCGCAGAUAUCAGGAGGAACACCGGUGGCGAAGGCGGGUCUCUGGGCAGUAACUGACGCUGAGGAACGAAAGCGUGGGUAGCGAACAGG